UACGUAGGGGGCAAGCGUUGUCCGGAUUUAUUGGGCGUAAAAGGCUUGUAGGUGGCCACGCCAAGUCGGAUGUGAAAUCUCCCGGCUCAACUGGAAGGGGUCAUUCGAUACUGGCGGGCUCGAGGCCGGUAGGGGGAAGUGGAAUUCCCGGUGUAGUGGUGGAAUGCGUAGAUAUCGGGAGGAACACCAGUGGCGAAGGCGGCUUCCUGGACCGGUUCUGACACUGAGGAGCGAAAGCGUGGGGAGCGAACAGG
This 254-nucleotide ribosomal RNA is filed under the name uncultured bacterium. Its description in RNAcentral is "partial 16S ribosomal RNA". It matches the Rfam family "Bacterial small subunit ribosomal RNA", at positions 524 to 776 of the family's 1533-position model. The record is from RNAcentral.